Molecule: ribosomal RNA, 439 nt
Filed under: uncultured bacterium
Lineage: Bacteria
Description: partial 16S ribosomal RNA
Rfam family: Bacterial small subunit ribosomal RNA
Source: RNAcentral
CUACGGGUCGCUGCAGUGAGGAAUAUUGCACAAUGGGGGGAACCCUGAUGCAGCAACGCCGCGUGGAGGAUGACGCAUAUCGGUGUGUAAACUCCUUUUAUAUGUCAAGAAAAUGACGGUAGCAUAUGAAUAAGCACCGGCUAACUCCGUGCCAGCAGCCGCGGUAAUACGGAGGGCGCAAGCGUUACUCGGAAUCACUGGGCGUAAAGGACGCGUAGGCGGGUUGGAAAGUCAGGUGUGAAAUCCUACAGCUUAACUGUAGAACUGCACUUGAAACUUCUAAUCUAGAGUAUGGGAGGGGGAGAUGGAAUUAGUGGUGUAGGGGUAAAAUCCGUAGAUAUCACUAGGAAUACCUAAAGCGAAGGCGAUCUCCUGGAACAUUACUGACGCUAAGGCGUGAAAGCGUGGGGAGCAAACAGGAUUAGAUACCCGAGUAGUC